GUGAGGAAUAUUGCGCAAUGGAGGCAACUCUGACGCAGCCAUGCCGCGUGCAGGAAGAAGGCGCUACGCGUUGUAAACUGCUUUUAACCGGGAAGAAACCCCAGGACGUGUCCUGGGUUGACGGUACCGGAGGAAUAAGCACCGGCUAACUUCGUGCCAGCAGUCGCGGUAAUACGAAGGGUGCAAGCGUUAUCCGGAUUCAUUGGGUUUAAAGGGUGCGUAGGCGGAGCGUUAAGUCAGUGGUGAAAUCCUGCAGCUUAACUGUAGACUUGCCAUUGAUACUGGCGCUCUUGAGUGCGCUUGAAGUGGGCGGAAUGUGCCGUGUAGCGGUGAAAUGCUUAGAUAUGGCACAGAACACCAAUUGCGAAGGCAGCUCACUAAGGCGAUACUGACGCUGAGGCACGAAAGCGUGGGGAUCGAACAGGAUUAGAAACCCGAGUAGUCC
Molecule: ribosomal RNA, 445 nt
Filed under: uncultured bacterium
Lineage: Bacteria
Description: partial 16S ribosomal RNA
Rfam family: Bacterial small subunit ribosomal RNA
Source: RNAcentral